GGGGAUUUAGCUCAGCGGCGUAAGCACCUGCCUGGCAAGCAUGAGGUCAUGGGUUCAAUCCCCA
RNAcentral lists this transfer RNA (64 nucleotides) under Cavia porcellus (domestic guinea pig). It matches the Rfam family "tRNA", at positions 1 to 62 of the family's 71-position model. From Rfam's summary of the family: Transfer RNA (tRNA) molecules are approximately 80 nucleotides in length. The record is from Rfam by way of RNAcentral. Lineage: Eukaryota; Metazoa; Chordata; Mammalia; Rodentia; Caviidae.